CGGGACGGGUGAGUAACACGUGGAUAACCUACCUAUAAGACUGGGAUAACUUCGGGAAACCGGAGCUAAUACCGGAUAAUAUUUUGAACCGCAUGGUUCAAAAGUGAAAGACGGUCUUGCUGUCACUUAUAGAUGGAUCCGCGCUGCAUUAGCUAGUUGGUAAGGUAACGGCUUACCAAGGCAACGAUACGUAGCCGACCUGAGAUGGUGAUCGGCCACACUGGAACUGAGACACGGUCCAG
RNAcentral lists this ribosomal RNA (242 nucleotides) under uncultured Staphylococcus sp. RNAcentral describes it as "partial 16S ribosomal RNA". It matches the Rfam family "Bacterial small subunit ribosomal RNA", at positions 100 to 334 of the family's 1533-position model. Lineage: Bacteria; Bacillati; Bacillota; Bacilli; Caryophanales; Staphylococcaceae. The record is from RNAcentral.